RNAcentral lists this unclassified non-coding RNA (433 nucleotides) under Hevea brasiliensis (rubber tree). Lineage: Eukaryota; Viridiplantae; Streptophyta; Magnoliopsida; Malpighiales; Euphorbiaceae. The record is from RNAcentral.
CUUUGCCCCUCCGAAGCUCUACUACUGCAGCCACCGCCUCCUGAAGCUUGCCCUCUGUCUUGAAGCACAGAAACUAGCCAGAGGGAUUCAAUAGGCUGUGGUUUUCACUAAUAAGAACUUCUAAAAUGGAACCAGAAGUCGAAGAAGGGAGAAGGGAACCGGAAGUCACUAGAGGUUUAGAAAAGAAAAUCGUGAAAAUUGUUCGCAAGAUACUGGAGAAGGAAAACUUGUACGAGUUGACGGAGAAAAAAGUCCGAGAAAAGGCAUCGAAGGAUCUUGGGAUGAACCUCUCCGAUGAGCCCCUCAAGUCUAUCGUUAGCCGCGCCGUCGAAGAUUUCCUUGAAAGGCUCAGAACUCGAGCCCAAAAGUCAGUUGACUAAGCAUAAUUUGAGGAAAACAAAAGAUCUUCCGGUGGAUUUGAGAUGUAAUUUUA